This 253-nucleotide ribosomal RNA is filed under the name uncultured bacterium. Its description in RNAcentral is "partial 16S ribosomal RNA". It matches the Rfam family "Bacterial small subunit ribosomal RNA", at positions 524 to 776 of the family's 1533-position model. The record is from RNAcentral.
UACGUAGGGUGCGAGCGUUAAUCGGAAUUACUGGGCGUAAAGGGCGCGUAGGCGGCAUUCUAAGUCAGACGUGAAAUCCCCCGGCUUAACCUGGGAACUGCGUCUGAUACUGGGAGGCUUGAGUAUGGGAGAGGGAUGUAGAAUUCCAGGUGUAGCGGUGAAAUGCGUAGAUAUCUGGAGGAAUACCGGUGGCGAAGGCGGCAUCCUGGACCAUUACUGACGCUGAGGCGCGAAAGCUAGGGGAGCAAACGGG